AAAAACUUAAUCUACAUUGUGUCUGAGUAAGAUGGACCAAAGAAGUGACCUGAAACCAGAGACCUGGUGCCUGACCUCCACACACUAUUCUUGAUCUCAUAUAGCAGUCAAGGACAGCACAGUUCAUGGAGCUUAAUCCCUAAGUCAUUGAUAAUCUCCAAAUCAUUGAGGACGCUUCCUUGGCAGAGGAGAAGAGAGAUGCUACAAAAGAUUACCCAGACAGCCAGUCGUAGCGAAGACAAAGUGUUUGAGAAAGUUGGUAGAGACUGAGGUCUAGGCAAUUAACAUUACAGCAGCUGUCUGGGCACAAGCCUUUGUCCAUUAGGAGCAGUGGUCUCCCAAGGCAUUUUUCUGUCAGUCUUGGAACAGCAAUCACCAUAGACAGGUAAUAGCAAAUGUGCCAGCAAAAGACAUAUGCAAACUGAAAACAUAAUACUUUAGAAAGUGAAGGCUGUUUCUAACAGUAGCUUAUAAGUCAGUUUCUAUUAGUUUUUCUCAUGGACUGAUGGGGGCUACAUUCUCAGCACAGUUUAGAUGAUUCUGUAGACUUUUUCCUAAAGGCUAUUCUCUUAGAUGAACAACUGGAUUCUUCACAAUGGGAGAUCUCCAUGAAAGACUCAAGUUAUUUUAAAAAGGCAGCAUUGUUCUGGCUGAAAGAAAAAUACUUUAUUGUCCCAGCCUCAAGCCAGUUUGUUUUCUGUUAGUAGUUGUCCUGGUUCUUGAUCAGGAUAAAAAGAAUUAAGUAUGUUGGGACCAUUCCUGAUCACUAAAGGGUUAUGAAACUCUCUUGUGCAAACAAGAUGAUCUGGCUAAGUUCCAGGCAAAUCAAUUACAUCCUGUCACCCUAAUCCCCUCUGUAACCUUAAAUGAACUUGCACUUUUCUUAACGUCCUCUACUACGUUGUUGUGUUGCCCUACUAUGAACUGUUAAGUAACCGCUGCAUUUCUUGUAGACACAGGAUGGUUACUUCACCCAUCCCUGGUGUCAACUAUCUGACUGGAGAACAUUAAAUUUUAAUACAUCCAUGCUUGUAAGGCUCUUUCAAAUCCGUCAGUGAACUAAUAGUAAUACCUGGUAUUUAUAUGGGUCCUUUCAUUCAAAAGGCUUCCUAAUUUGACAAAUGCUACUAAAUAACUUGACCCAGUUCGCAUACAAAAAAAUUAGCGGCAAAACAAAUCCAAGUAACUCUUCUCCCAAACAUUAGCUUGUAUGAAGAGAGAACAGGCCCAGUUGUACAGCCUUUGUUGCAUGAGACAAAAGAGGCUUUUUUAAGUGUUCAUUCUUAUUGAAUUAAUACAGAAAGUGGUAAAAGCUAGCCAGAUGGCCCUUCUAAAAGCUGCAAAAGAGCCUUCUAUUUGCCAUUCAGAUAGGCUUUCCCUCUCCUGACUGCUCAGACAUGCAAAGUAAAACUAAGUAGAAAAAAGUUCA
Molecule: long non-coding RNA, 1429 nt
Organism: Phasianus colchicus (ring-necked pheasant)
Lineage: Eukaryota; Metazoa; Chordata; Aves; Galliformes; Phasianidae
Source: RefSeq, a predicted model, not a curated record